Molecule: non-coding RNA, 125 nt
Organism: Triticum aestivum (bread wheat)
Lineage: Eukaryota; Viridiplantae; Streptophyta; Magnoliopsida; Poales; Poaceae
Source: Rfam
AAGGUACUCCCUUCGUCUGGAAUUACUUGUCACAGAAAUGGAUAAAAAUAGAUGUAUCUAGACCUAAAAUACGUCUGAAUACAUCCAUUUAUCCGACAAGUAAUUCCAGACGGAGGCAGUACAAA